Molecule: ribosomal RNA, 1418 nt
Filed under: Hyloxalus sordidatus
Lineage: Eukaryota; Metazoa; Chordata; Amphibia; Anura; Dendrobatidae
Description: partial 16S ribosomal RNA
Rfam family: Bacterial large subunit ribosomal RNA
Source: RNAcentral
GCUGAAUAUCUAGCCCUACUCUUCUCCAUUUUCUUCCUUUAUUAAUUCCUACUAACCAAAACAUUUUAUCAAUCUAGUAAAGGCGAUUAAAAAAUUUAUUGGCGCAAUAUACUAAGUACCGUAAGGGAAUGAUGAAAUAAAACUGAAACAACUCUAAAGCACAAAAAAGUAGAGUUUAACCCUCGUACCUUUUGCAUCAUGAUUUAACUAGUCUAACCAAGCAAAAAGACUUUUAGUUUGACCCCCCGAAACUAAGCGAGCUACUUUAGAACAGCUUUACGAGCAAACCCGUCUCUGUUGCAAAAGAGUGGGAAGAUUUUAAAAUAGCGGUGAAAGACCUAACGAGCCUAGUGAUAGCUGGUUGCUUAUGAAAAGGAUUUAAGUCCUGCUUAAAGACAUAUUUAUUCAACGAAAUCUUUCUUUAAAGUUAUUCAAAUAAGGUACAGCCUAUUUGAAAAAGGAGACAACCUCCACCCUUGGGUUAUUCUUCACGAAUAAAUAACUAAGUAGGCUUAAAAGCAGCCAUCUAAAAUAAAAGCGUCAUAGCUUUCUUAUUCAUUCAUUUAAUUCCUUCAUUUUUACCUAACCCUUCAUUAUUAAAAAGCAACUCUAUACUCUUAUAGAAAAUUUUAUGUUAAAACUAGUAAUAAGAAGACUAACUCUUCUCCUUAAUGCAAGCAUAUAUCAGCAAGGAUCGCCCGCUGAUCUUUAACGUCAUUAAUAUUAUAGUAGUAACUUAACAAGAAAAGACUACUCCAUACUACGUUAAUCUAACACAAGAGCAUUUUAAGAAAGAUUUAAAGAAAAAGAAGGAACUCGGCAAAUAUUAGCCUCGCCUGUUUACCAAAAACAUCGCCCCCCGAACCAUAUGAGGGGUCCAGCCUGCCCAGUGACAUUGUUCAACGGCCGCGGUAUCCUAACCGUGCGAAGGUAGCGUAAUCACUUGUUCUUUAAAUGAGGACUAGUAUGAACGGCUUCACGAAGGCUACACUGUCUCCUUUUUCUAAUCAAUGAAACUAAUCUCCCCGUGAAGAAGCGGGGAUAAACCUAUAAGACGAGAAGACCCUAUGGAGCUUUAAACAACCGAAAUAUCUGCUUUUUAUACUUCUUUCCUUCAGAGAAUCAAAUUCAACUCAGCACUUUAUUUCCAGUUUUAGGUUGGGGUGACCACGGAGCAUAAACCAUCCUCCAUGUUGAAAAAGACUUCAUCUCUUAACAUAAAGCUACGACUUCAUGUACCAACAAAUUGACUUCCAUUGACCCAAAUAAUUUGAUCAACGAACCAAGUUACCCUAGGGAUAACAGCGCAAUCUAUUUUAAGAGCUCCUAUCGACAAAUAGGUUUACGACCUCGAUGUUGGAUCAGGGUGUCCUAGUGGUGCAGCCGCUACUAACGGUUCGUUGUUCAACGAUUAAAAC